UAUUGGGGUUGCGGACAUAUCACAACGGAGAGGUAUCGUAAUUGAAGAGGUUUGGAAAGACCCACCACAGAAGGUAAUAGUCCUGUAUGUUAAAUGAGAAGACUUUAGAUAUGAUCCAGAGUACCACUGGACACGUGAAACCCUGUGGGAAUCAGGAGGGACCACCCUCCAAGGCUAAAUACUACCUAGUGACCGAUAGCGUAUAGUACCGUGCGGGAAAGGUGAAAAGAACC
RNAcentral lists this ribosomal RNA (233 nucleotides) under Clostridioides difficile. RNAcentral's name for it is "partial 23S ribosomal RNA". It matches the Rfam family "Bacterial large subunit ribosomal RNA", at positions 290 to 525 of the family's 2925-position model. The record is from RNAcentral. Lineage: Bacteria; Bacillati; Bacillota; Clostridia; Peptostreptococcales; Peptostreptococcaceae.